UGUCAGUCAUUCCAAGAAGUUGACUUAGCGCUCAGUCAAUUUCCGUCCAUUAGAUCCUCAUGCCUAAAAAAAAAAGCCUAAAACUGAUGUUUGAAACUCGCAUAUAGUGGAAUACAAAUCUGCCGAGUUAAGGAUCUUUUCUGAAUCUCGCAAUUUUGGUGGCGUACCCUGCAACAGCAUGUUUGUUGUUAUGGCUGUUUUUACUUCUGUUUAGAAGACAACCCAGCUAAGAGAUAGAGUUUCAGUGACAUGAAGUGUGAACCACCUAUCACCAUGCUACUGCAACACUUCAUGACACUUUCUUAAGCAUCAGGAAAUUUAUCUCAACAUGUGGAGUAAUGCUGUUGGUUGCUGUGAAUUCCAU
Long non-coding RNA from Daphnia pulicaria, 364 nucleotides. RefSeq lists it as uncharacterized. Lineage: Eukaryota; Metazoa; Arthropoda; Branchiopoda; Diplostraca; Daphniidae. The record is from RefSeq and is a predicted model, not a curated record. The transcript is spliced from 3 exons.